UACGUAGGUGGCGAGCGUUGUCCGGAUUUACUGGGCGUAAAGGGAGCGUAGGCGGGCUUCUAAGUGAGAUGUGAAAUACUCGGGCUCAACUUGAGUGCUGCAUUUCAAACUGGAAGUCUAGAGUGCAGGAGAGGAGAAUGGAAUUCCUAGUGUAGCGGUGAAAUGCGUAGAGAUUAGGAAGAACACCAGUGGCGAAGGCGAUUCUCUGGACUGUAACUGACGCUGAGGCUCGAAAGCGUGGGGAGCAAACAGG
RNAcentral lists this ribosomal RNA (253 nucleotides) under uncultured bacterium. RNAcentral describes it as "partial 16S ribosomal RNA". It matches the Rfam family "Bacterial small subunit ribosomal RNA", at positions 524 to 776 of the family's 1533-position model. The record is from RNAcentral.